CCUCAUCUUCCCUGCCUCAUCCACAGAAAGAGACAUCCUUGCUGGGUGGAAAAAUUCAAAGAGACAGACAGGGAGGGCUUCUGCAAGCUAGAGAGUAUCCUGGAGCUAGCCCAGUGGGAGAAAAAGCACAAGAUGUCCCUAGGGAGGUAGCAAGCACCACUCUAAUCUUGGGUACACUUGGGUGAAGGAUGGCAUGGUCUGUGCUUCGGUAUAAGUGUUCUCCAAAUCUGUGAAAAAAAAAUAAAUCAGGAGCAUUUUUCAAGCUGAGAGAGAGAGAUAGAUUAUAUAGGUUUAGGCAUGAAGAGGCCGAUCUAAAGGCCUCUUUACUGUGUACUUUAACUUCUGUAUCAAAUGUUUGAAUAUGCCUGUUUGAUAGAAAAGUGAUCUUAGUUGAUUCGUAUUUUUAUUUACAGUGACGUUUAGAAAUAAAUUUUAAAAAGGAUUUAAGAAUUAAAAAACUGUACAAAAACAAUAUCUGUGAAUUUUUAAGACUGCUUGUAUUUAGAGCUAUUUGUUGGAGCAAAAUCCAUUAAAAAACAGAAUGAACUGUGCUAGUCAGAAAACUCAGAGCAAGUCAUAAACUCCAAAGGCGCAGCUCCAGAAUUCAGCCACUGUGAUGUAAACAAUAUGAGUCUAAUAUAACAUAUAAACUUCUCCAAAGCAUUUAUCACUGUAGUAUCUAGGCCAUGUACAUAGAUUUCAGAAUAUAGUGGGAUCUGUCCAGAAGGGAUGAUCAAUUUCCCAUUCAUCUGCUGUGCUGCCCAUUGGCUUUGCCAUUACGUUUAAAAUAAUGGAAGUUACUCUCUGAUCACGAGCAUGUAAUUCACAAAUGGGCUGCCCUGAUGUGAUUUUGAUGCAGGCAUUCAGCCAAGGAGCAGUGCGGUGGAAGAGCAGCUUCCAUCAGAGCCAGAGGGAUGAGAGCUGGAUGCUGCAGAAAAGGAACAGGCCUCACAGAAAGCAGGCUCAAGGAUCUGCAGCAUCCAAAGCCAGCAGACCACAGCUCUUUGCAGGAUCCUGCCUACCCGUGGGCUCUGCUUGGCAGGGCUGCCUGCUGGGAGCCAGCUAGAGCAACCUCCAGCACUGCGUAUUGGCAGCGUGCAGCCGGGCAGACGGCGCAGUCACCGAUUAAUAGCAGACAGCAAUAUUUAAACUAAUCAUUACAGGGAUCGGCAUAAAACAAAACUCUUAUUAAAAUUAACAGCACAGUCACUGAAACUGAUGCUGUUUCAUGCUAUUCAUUAGCUAACAACUGAAUCUAGCCAACAGCCCUUGACUGGGGCUGGUGGUGCUUUUAGUCCUGUGUCUUCUGGAGACAAGGCUGAUGUGAGGUCAGAUGCUGUGUGGACACAUUGGUGUAACCAAAUGGAGUCGUGCUAAGAGGGAAGGACUCCAGCCUCGGGCCCGUGAGGUGGGAAAUGGCUCCGAGCUGCUCACUGCCAUGACCAGACAGGUGCUGAGAGCAGCUACAAGACUCCACAUAAGGACACAGGGAGAAUUUACACCAAAAAAAAGAACCUCUCCAGCACACUAAAUUAAUUGCUAAGGUGGACAUAUGUUCCUGAUAGCUUUUGAACUAUUUGACAGAGUAUGAAAGGCUUUACAGUUAAUCAGCCUCUAAAAUGUUCAUGAAAAGGGGUAGAUAGACAGAGCCCUUAUUAAUGUCCCCAGUGAUGGAAAGGAAGCUCUAUGCACUCACACUUCGAGGAGCAGUGAAUCCACAAAAUAAAAUCCUCAAAACAAAGCUGCCGAGGGACCUA
This 1757-nucleotide long non-coding RNA is filed under the name Anser brachyrhynchus (Pink-footed goose). RNAcentral describes it as "lncRNA (ENSABRG00000009624.1)". Lineage: Eukaryota; Metazoa; Chordata; Aves; Anseriformes; Anatidae. The record is from RNAcentral.